Molecule: ribosomal RNA, 240 nt
Filed under: Triticum aestivum (bread wheat)
Lineage: Eukaryota; Viridiplantae; Streptophyta; Magnoliopsida; Poales; Poaceae
Description: partial small subunit ribosomal RNA
Source: RNAcentral
AUGGAGAAGACCGUGGGGAAGAGCAGCGCCACACCUGGGCGCCGGUGGUGGCGGCGGCUGCGGGGAGGGCGGCGGUGGGGCUGGCGGCGGCAGACGAGGGAAAGGGUGAGGGAGAGGAAUUGGGGAUGGGGACUGGGGGCUACGCCGCUGGCCAAUCUCUUUCUCACUUUCUUCUCGGCGAAGGGGACCUUUUUGUCUCAUACCGUUGCGGACGUGGACAUCGCGAGGGCUCGUCCUUGA